Long non-coding RNA from Lates calcarifer (barramundi perch), 920 nucleotides. RefSeq lists it as uncharacterized. NCBI's taxonomy places the organism in Eukaryota, Metazoa, Chordata, Actinopteri, Centropomidae. The transcript is spliced from 5 exons. The record is from RefSeq and is a predicted model, not a curated record.
AGCAGGGACAGGGUCAUCUUCCAGUUCAGGCCGCCGGUGUCGUCAAUGGUGCUGGUUAUGUUGAGAGUCUGGCGGUACCAGAAGCUGGAAACCCCAAUGCCCCCCAGCCGUGGGUAGACGUAGUUCCACACGCCGAUGCUGCCACGCCUGAUCCUCUGACCUACUGCCAGCUCCAGGAAGAACAAGGGGAUGCCAAUGAGCAGGAGGAGGAUAAAGUAUGGCACCAGAGGGGACAAUGGAGAGAGAGCACGUUCAGUCCUGCUUACGUCAAGACAUGAAGGGGCACGAUGGUGACAAAACCAUCCAAAUCCAGAGAGGAUGGGCUCAUGCUGAUGGACAGCUGGGAUAGCGAUGUACCCAGCUCAUCUCUUGUGUGUUGUGGCUGUGGAUCCGGACUUGUUGCUAACACUCACUGGGCUCCAGUGUGCUCCAUGACGCCUCAUGAGAGGUCAGACAGAGGACAGCAACACCACUUCCCAAUUCCCUUCCCUCAGCCCCCUUUCACUACAGCAGACCAGCUUAUACUUCCCAGAAUGCACCUCUCCAGCCAGCUGACCCCGGGGUCGGCAGCUGUCAAUCACCUCCUCAGCUGGCUCUGCAGCUUCUGGACACAGAGUUGGAGGAUGUGAGAGAGGCCUCUGAGAGGAACCCUGGCUCUGCAUAUGGGAUCAUCUCUGUGCAUUCAUGAGCCAGGAGGCGGCGAGGGGGAGACCUGGGACUCCCAACAGGCUGAACUGAUUUCCUGUGCAGGGUCAUGCCCAGGACAGGCUCGGAGGACAAGGGUUUAGGACCGCAGGGAGCAGAGAGCAGAGCUGGUCAUGGUAUGGACGGCAAGUUCAUGCUAUUUUCUGCCAUUUCCCUGCUCUUAGCUGCCACUUCUUUCCCUGCGAGCGGGUGAAGAUAAAAUGCACACAUCUCUU